UGGGGAAUUUUGGACAAUGGGCGAAAGCCUGAUCCAGCAAUGCCGCGUGUGUGAAGAAGGCCUUCGGGUUGUAAAGCACUUUUGUCCGGAAAGAAAUCCUUGGCUCUAAUACAGUCGGGGGAUGACGGUACCGGAAGAAUAAGCACCGGCUAACUACGUGCCAGCAGCCGCGGUAAUACGUAGGGUGCAAGCGUUAAUCGGAAUUACUGGGCGUAAAGCGUGCGCAGGCGGUUUGCUAAGACCGAUGUGAAAUCCCCGGGCUCAACCUGGGAACUGCAUUGGUGACUGGCAGGCUAGAGUAUGGCAGAGGGGGGUAGAAUUCCACGUGUAGCAGUGAAAUGCGUAGAGAUGUGGAGGAAUACCGAUGGCGAAGGCAGCCCCCUGGGCCAAUACUGACGCUCGUGCACGAAAGCGUGGGGAGCAAACAGGAUUAGAUACCCUGGUAGUCCACGCCCUAAACGAUGUCAACUAGUUGUUGGGGAUUCAUUUCCUUAGUAACGUAGCUAACGCGUGAAGUUGACCGCCUGGGGAGUACGGUCGGCAAGAUUAAAACUCAAAUGAAUUGACGGGGUCAUAGCUGUUUCCU
RNAcentral lists this ribosomal RNA (586 nucleotides) under uncultured bacterium. Its description in RNAcentral is "partial 16S ribosomal RNA". It matches the Rfam family "Bacterial small subunit ribosomal RNA", at positions 355 to 1375 of the family's 1533-position model. The record is from RNAcentral.